Molecule: ribosomal RNA, 433 nt
Filed under: uncultured bacterium
Lineage: Bacteria
Description: partial 16S ribosomal RNA
Rfam family: Bacterial small subunit ribosomal RNA
Source: RNAcentral
AACGAACGCUGGCGGCAUGCCUAACACAUGCAAGUCGAACGAGACCUUCGGGUCUAGUGGCGCACGGGUGCGUAACGCGUGGGAACCUGCCCUUAGGUUCGGAAUAACUCCCCGAAAGGGGUGCUAAUACCGGAUAAUGUCUUCGGACCAAAGAUUUAUCGCCUUUGGAUGGGCCCGCGUUGGAUUAGCUAGUUGGUAGGGUAAAAGCCUACCAAGGCGACGAUCCAUAGCUGGUCUGAGAGGAUGAUCAGCCACACUGGGACUGAGACACGGCCCAGACUCCUGCGGGAGGCAGCAGUGGGGAGUAAUGGAAACUGGGCGAAAGCCUGAUCCAGCAAUGCCGCGUGAGUGAUGAAGGCCUUAGGGUUGUAAAGCUCUUUUACCCGGGAUGAUAAUGACAGUACCGGGAGAAUAAGCACCGGCUAACUCCGUG